Molecule: ribosomal RNA, 484 nt
Filed under: uncultured bacterium
Lineage: Bacteria
Description: partial 16S ribosomal RNA
Rfam family: Bacterial small subunit ribosomal RNA
Source: RNAcentral
AUUGAACGCUGGCGGCAGGCCUAACACAUGCAAGUCGAGCGGAUGAACGGAGCUUGCUCCUGGAUUCAUCGUCGGACGGGUGAGUAAUGCCUAUGAAUCUGCCUUGUAUUGGGUGAUAACGUCCUGAAACGGGCUCUAAUACCGCAUACGUCCUGAUGUAGAAAUUUGGGGAUCUUCGGACCUCACGCUAUCAGAUGAGCCUAGGUCGUAUUAGCUAGUUGGUUGGGUAAAGGCCUACCAAGGCGACGAUCCGUAACUGGUCUGAGAGGAUGAUCAGUCACACUGGAAGUGAAACACGGACAAGAGUACUACGGGAGGCAGCAGUGGGGAAUAUUGGACAAUGGGCGAAAGCAUGAUGCAGCCAUGCCGCGUGUGUGAAGAAGGUCUUCGGAUUGUAAAGCACUUUAAGUUGGGAGGAAGGGAAGUAAGUUAAUACCUUGCUGUUUUGACGUUAACAACAGAAUAAGCACCGGCUAACUACGUG